GGGUUGUGAGGUUAAGCGACUAAGCGUACACGGUGGAUGCCCUGGCAGUCAGAGGCGAUGAAGGACGUGCUAAUCUGCGAUAAGCGCCGGUAAGGUGAUAUGAACCGUUAUAACCGGCGAUUUCCGAAUGGGGAAACCCAGUGUGAUUCGUCACACUAUCAUUAACUGAAUCCAUAGGUUAAUGAGGCGAACCGGGGGAACUGAAACAUCUAAGUACCCCGAGGAAAAGAAAUCAACCGAGAUUCCCCCAGUAGCGGCGAGCGAACGGGGAGGAGCCCAGAGCCUGAAUCAGCAUGUGUGUUAGUGGAAGCGUCUGGAAAGGUGCGCGAUACAGGGUGACAGCCCCGUACACAAAAGCGCAUGUGCUGUGAGCUCGAUGAGUAGGGCGGGACACGUGGUAUCCUGUCUGAAUAUGGGGGGACCAUCCUCCAAGGCUAAAUACUCCUGACUGACCGAUAGUGAACCAGUACCGUGAGGGAAAGGCGAAAAGAACCCCGGCGAGGGGAGUGAAAAAGAACCUGAAACCGUGUACGUACAAGCAGUGGGAGCACAGGUUUACCUGUGUGACUGCGUACCUUUUGUAUAAUGGGUCAGCGACUUAUAUUCUGUAGCAAGGUUAACCGAAUAGGGGAGCCGGAGGGAAACCGAGUCUUAAUUGGGCGUUAAGUUGCAGGGUAUAGACCCGAAACCCGGUGAUCUAGCCAUGGGCAGGUUGAAGGUUGGGUAACACUAACUGGAGGACCGAACCGACUAAUGUUGAAAAAUUAGCGGAUGACCUGUGGCUGGGGGUGAAAGGCCAAUCAAACCGGGAGAUAGCUGGUUCUCCCCGAAAGCUAUUUAGGUAGCGCCUCGUGAAUUCAUCUCCGGGGGUAGAGCACUGUUUCGGCUAGGGGGCCAUCCCGGCUUACCAACCCGAUGCAAACUGCGAAUACCGGAGAAUGUUAUCACGGGAGACACACGGCGGGUGCUAACGUCCGUCGUGAAGAGGGAAACAACCCAGACCGCCAGCUAAGGUCCCAAAGUCAUGGUUAAGUGGGAAACGAUGUGGGAAGGCCCAGACAGCCAGGAUGUUGGCUUAGAAGCAGCCAUCAUUUAAAGAAAGCGUAAUAGCUCACUGGUCGAGUCGGCCUGCGCGGAAGAUGUAACGGGGCUAAACCAUGCACCGAAGCUGCGGCAGCGAACGUAUCACCCAAGACAACUUUACGGAGUUGACGAUUGACGGAGCGAAGCGACGUCAAAGCGUUCAUUAAAGUCGAGUUGGCUUAGGGAUACGUUCGUUGGGUAGGGGAGCGUUCUGUAAGCCUGUGAAGGUGUGUCGUGAGGCAUGCUGGAGGUAUCAGAAGUGCGAAUGCUGACAUAAGUAACGAUAAAGCGGGUGAAAAGCCCGCUCGCCGGAAGACCAAGGGUUCCUGUCCAACGUUAAUCGGGGCAGGGUGAGUCGACCCCUAAGGCGAGGCCGAAAGGCGUAGUCGAUGGGAAACGGGUUAAUAUUCCCGUACUUGGUGUUACUGCGAAGGGGGACGGAGAAGGCUAUGUUGGCCGGGCGACGGUUGUCCCGGUUUAAGCGUGUAGGUGUGUGUUCCAGGUAAAUCCGGUUCACUUUAACACUGAGGCGUGACGACGAGGCACUACGGUGCUGAAGCAACAAAUGCCCUGCUUCCAGGAAAAGCCUCUAAGCAUCAGGUAACACGAAAUCGUACCCCAAACCGACACAGGUGGUCAGGUAGAGAAUACCAAGGCGCUUGAGAGAACUCGGGUGAAGGAACUAGGCAAAAUGGUGCCGUAACUUCGGGAGAAGGCACGCUGACACGUAGGUGAAGUGAUUUACUCAUGGAGCUGAAGUCAGUCGAAGAUACCAGCUGGCUGCAACUGUUUAUUAAAAACACAGCACUGUGCAAACACGAAAGUGGACGUAUACGGUGUGACGCCUGCCCGGUGCCGGAAGGUUAAUUGAUGGGGUCAGCGCAAGCGAAGCUCCUGAUCGAAGCCCCGGUAAACGGCGGCCGUAACUAUAACGGUCCUAAGGUAGCGAAAUUCCUUGUCGGGUAAGUUCCGACCUGCACGAAUGGCGUAAUGAUGGCCAGGCUGUCUCCACCCGAGACUCAGUGAAAUUGAACUCGCUGUGAAGAUGCAGUGUACCCGCGGCAAGACGGAAAGACCCCGUGAACCUUUACUAUAGCUUGACACUGAACAUUGAGCCUUGAUGUGUAGGAUAGGUGGGAGGCUUUGAAGUGUGGACGCCAGUCUGCAUGGAGCCGACCUUGAAAUACCACCCUUUAAUGUUUGAUGUUCUAACGUGGACCCGUAAUCCGGGUUGCGGACAGUGUCUGGUGGGUAGUUUGACUGGGGCGGUCUCCUCCUAAAGAGUAACGGAGGAGCACGAAGGUUGGCUAAUCCUGGUCGGACAUCAGGAGGUUAGUGCAAUGGCAUAAGCCAGCUUGACUGCGAGCGUGACGGCGCGAGCAGGUGCGAAAGCAGGUCAUAGUGAUCCGGUGGUUCUGAAUGGAAGGGCCAUCGCUCAACGGAUAAAAGGUACUCCGGGGAUAACAGGCUGAUACCGCCCAAGAGUUCAUAUCGACGGCGGUGUUUGGCACCUCGAUGUCGGCUCAUCACAUCCUGGGGCUGAAGUAGGUCCCAAGGGUAUGGCUGUUCGCCAUUUAAAGUGGUACGCGAGCUGGGUUUAGAACGUCGUGAGACAGUUCGGUCCCUAUCUGCCGUGGGCGCUGGAGAACUGAGGGGGGCUGCUCCUAGUACGAGAGGACCGGAGUGGACGCAUCACUGGUGUUCGGGUUGUCAUGCCAAUGGCACUGCCCGGUAGCUAAAUGCGGAAGAGAUAAGUGCUGAAAGCAUCUAAGCACGAAACUUGCCCCGAGAUGAGUUCUCCCUGAGACUUAGAGUCUCCUGAAGGAACGUUGAAGACGACGACGUUGAUAGGCCGGGUGUGUAAGCGCAGCGAUGCGUUGAGCUAACCGGUACUAAUGAACCGUGAGGCUUAACCUUACAACGCCGAAG
RNAcentral lists this ribosomal RNA (3012 nucleotides) under Salmonella enterica subsp. enterica. RNAcentral's name for it is "23S ribosomal RNA". It matches the Rfam family "Bacterial large subunit ribosomal RNA". The record is from RNAcentral. Lineage: Bacteria; Pseudomonadati; Pseudomonadota; Gammaproteobacteria; Enterobacterales; Enterobacteriaceae.